RNAcentral lists this ribosomal RNA (252 nucleotides) under uncultured bacterium. Its description in RNAcentral is "partial 16S ribosomal RNA". It matches the Rfam family "Bacterial small subunit ribosomal RNA", at positions 525 to 776 of the family's 1533-position model. The record is from RNAcentral.
ACGUAGGUGGCAAGCGUUGUCCGGAUUUAUUGGGCGUAAAGCGAGCGCAGGCGGUCAAUUAAGUCUGAUGUGAAAGCCCCCGGCUCAACCGGGGAGGGUCAUUGGAAACUGGUUGACUUGAGUGCAGAAGAGGAGAGUGGAAUUCCAUGUGUAGCGGUGAAAUGCGUAGAUAUAUGGAGGAACACCAGUGGCGAAGGCGACUCUCUGGUCUGUAACUGACGCUGAGGCUCGAAAGCGUGGGUAGCAAACAGG